This 344-nucleotide long non-coding RNA is filed under the name Phoenix dactylifera (date palm). Its description in RNAcentral is "long non-coding RNA (PDAC_LNC009094)". The record is from RNAcentral. Lineage: Eukaryota; Viridiplantae; Streptophyta; Magnoliopsida; Arecales; Arecaceae.
AGUAAUUUCUCGAAGAAAACACACAAUAUAUAUCUACUUUUGCCCACAAAUGGGAAAAAAGAAAGAUCACUCCCUAUAUUGAUUUGAGUAUGUGGUGCUUCACAACAUAUACAGAUGCCGGUCCGUUCUUCGGACUGCAAGAUUUUCCUUUUAUGUACAGAUGAUUCUUAUAUGCAGGUUCUCAAGAACAAUGUUUCGAUCCCAUCGGAUAGGCUCCUGUCAACAGCGUAGAGGGAUAUUGGUGCUUCAUACGUCUCUUUUACGAUAGAAAAGGAAAGCCGAUACGGAAAGUGUCGAUGGGCAAAGGCAGCUGGAAUCUGCGCCUCACAGAGUUCAUGAAGAAC